RNAcentral lists this ribosomal RNA (1645 nucleotides) under Escherichia coli O157. RNAcentral describes it as "partial 23S ribosomal RNA". It matches the Rfam family "Bacterial large subunit ribosomal RNA", at positions 1291 to 2915 of the family's 2925-position model. The record is from RNAcentral. Lineage: Bacteria; Pseudomonadati; Pseudomonadota; Gammaproteobacteria; Enterobacterales; Enterobacteriaceae.
CGAAUGCUGACAUAAGUAACGAUAAAGCGGGUGAAAAGCCCGCUCGCCGGAAGACCAAGGGUUCCUGUCCAACGUUAAUCGGGGCAGGGUGAGUCGACCCCUAAGGCGAGGCCGAAAGGCGUAGUCGAUGGGAAACAGGUUAAUAUUCCUGUACUUGGUGUUACUGCGAAGGGGGGACGGAGAAGGCUAUGUUGGCCGGGCGACGGUUGUCCCGGUUUAAGCGUGUAGGCUGGUUUUCCAGGCAAAUCCGGAAAAUCAAGGCUGAGGCGUGAUGACGAGGCACUACGGUGCUGAAGCAACAAAUGCCCUGCUUCCAGGAAAAGCCUCUAAGCAUCAGGUAACAUCAAAUCGUACCCCAAACCGACACAGGUGGUCAGGUAGAGAAUACCAAGGCGCUUGAGAGAACUCGGGUGAAGGAACUAGGCAAAAUGGUGCCGUAACUUCGGGAGAAGGCACGCUGAUAUGUAGGUGAAGUCCCUCGCGGAUGGAGCUGAAAUCAGUCGAAGAUACCAGCUGGCUGCAACUGUUUAUUAAAAACACAGCACUGUGCAAACACGAAAGUGGACGUAUACGGUGUGACGCCUGCCCGGUGCCGGAAGGUUAAUUGAUGGGGUCAGCGCAAGCGAAGCUCUUGAUCGAAGCCCCGGUAAACGGCGGCCGUAACUAUAACGGUCCUAAGGUAGCGAAAUUCCUUGUCGGGUAAGUUCCGACCUGCACGAAUGGCGUAAUGAUGGCCAGGCUGUCUCCACCCGAGACUCAGUGAAAUUGAACUCGCUGUGAAGAUGCAGUGUACCCGCGGCAAGACGGAAAGACCCCGUGAACCUUUACUAUAGCUUGACACUGAACAUUGAGCCUUGAUGUGUAGGAUAGGUGGGAGGCUUUGAAGUGUGGACGCCAGUCUGCAUGGAGCCGACCUUGAAAUACCACCCUUUAAUGUUUGAUGUUCUAACGUGGACCCGUGAUCCGGGUUGCGGACAGUGUCUGGUGGGUAGUUUGACUGGGGCGGUCUCCUCCUAAAGAGUAACGGAGGAGCACGAAGGUUGGCUAAUCCUGGUCGGACAUCAGGAGGUUAGUGCAAUGGCAUAAGCCAGCUUGACUGCGAGCGUGACGGCGCGAGCAGGUGCGAAAGCAGGUCAUAGUGAUCCGGUGGUUCUGAAUGGAAGGGCCAUCGCUCAACGGAUAAAAGGUACUCCGGGGAUAACAGGCUGAUACCGCCCAAGAGUUCAUAUCGACGGCGGUGUUUGGCACCUCGAUGUCGGCUCAUCACAUCCUGGGGCUGAAGUAGGUCCCAAGGGUAUGGCUGUUCGCCAUUUAAAGUGGUACGCGAGCUGGGUUUAGAACGUCGUGAGACAGUUCGGUCCCUAUCUGCCGUGGGCGCUGGAGAACUGAGGGGGGCUGCUCCUAGUACGAGAGGACCGGAGUGGACGCAUCACUGGUGUUCGGGUUGUCAUGCCAAUGGCACUGCCCGGUAGCUAAAUGCGGAAGAGAUAAGUGCUGAAAGCAUCUAAGCACGAAACUUGCCCCGAGAUGAGUUCUCCCUGACCCUUUAAGGGUCCUGAAGGAACGUUGAAGACGACGACGUUGAUAGGCCGGGUGUGUAAGCGCAGCGAUGCGUUGAGCUAACCGGUACUAAUGAACCGUGAGG